RNAcentral lists this ribosomal RNA (451 nucleotides) under uncultured bacterium. Its description in RNAcentral is "partial 16S ribosomal RNA". It matches the Rfam family "Bacterial small subunit ribosomal RNA", at positions 354 to 796 of the family's 1533-position model. The record is from RNAcentral.
GUGGGGAAUAUUGGACAAUGGGGGGAACCCUGAUCCAGCCAUGCCGCGUGUGUGAAGAAGGCCUUUUGGUUGUAAAGCACUUUAAGCGAGGAGGAGGCUACCGAGAUUAAUACUCUUGGAUAGUGGACGUUACUCGCAGAAUAAGCACCGGCUAACUCUGUGCCAGCAGCCGCGGUAAUACAGAGGGUGCAAGCGUUAAUCGGAUUUACUGGGCGUAAAGCGCGCGUAGGUGGCCAAUUAAGUCUAAUGUGAAAUCCCCGAGCUUAACUUGGGAAUUGCAUUCGAUACUGGUUGGCUAGAGUAUGGGAGAGGAUGGUAGAAUUCCAGGUGUAGCGGUGAAAUGCGUAGAGAUCUGGAGGAAUACCGAUGGCGAAGGCAGCCAUCUGGCCUAAUACUGACACUGAGGUGCGAAAGCAUGGGGAGCAAACAGGAUUAGAAACCCGGGUAGUCC